This is an RNA transcript of Musa acuminata AAA Group (dessert banana), 831 nucleotides long. It is a transcript of the gene named zinc finger CCCH domain-containing protein 11-like, with no coding region annotated. The transcript has 5 exons. The record is from RefSeq and is a predicted model, not a curated record. Lineage: Eukaryota; Viridiplantae; Streptophyta; Magnoliopsida; Zingiberales; Musaceae.
AUUGAUUUUAGAGAGAGAGAGCGAGGCGAAGCAGAAUUUGAUUCCUCUUCGCAUUUUAUCGUGUUUCUCUGUUGAUGCUGGACCAAGAACCAGCCAUCGAAGGCGGAGCUCGCCAGGAAGCAGAGGAUCGUCGAGGAGGAAGACCUUUGGGGGUUGAAGAACAAGAACACAGAGCAAGAAUGUCCGUUCCCUGCCCCCUCACUAGUCGAUGGAUUCCUCGCUGAUCUAACAACUACAGUAACGGGAGGGGGAGGAGGAGGAAGAGAAGGCGUCGGCCAGCCCAAAGUUCCAAUUAAUAAAUAGGGGGGUUUUCGUCGUCUUCUUUUCCUCUUGAUCUCUGUUGUAUUACUGAUGCGCGUGUUGAUGUUCUUAGGGUUAUCGACUUGCUUAUGUGUAGACGCGAGUUCCGCGAGGCGGGCAGGUGCCAAAAGGUUUCCGACUGCAAGUUCUCGCAUGAUCUCUAUGCCCAGUGGAAGGGAGUGCGGAUCGACCUCUACAGCGACCAACGCGGUCAAGUAAGGGAAACGCAAAAAAGAGGAAGAAAGAGAAGCUGGUUUUGCUGCAAUGAGCGCUGAGCAAGCUAACAAUGAUUGGAUAAGUUGUGGUAAUUCGUUAAUUCCAUCAGAUUCAAGUGACGUUGAGGCACAUGAGAAGUACGCAAGGGAAGAACCAUUUACUGAAGAAGGGUCUCACCGCCCACGCGUUUAAGUGCGGCCCCACUCCAUCCAAACUUCACAUCAUAAGACUGUGUUCUUCCUCACCGACUUGACAAUGGUCUCCCAUUAUUCUCCGUUCUCUAUCCAAGAAUGGAUUUAAUCUUGUGUACACAUG